AGAGUUUGAUCAUGGCUCAGGAUGAACGCUAGCGGGAGGCUUAACACAUGCAAGUCGAGCGGGAAGGGUAGCAAUACCCUGAGAGCGGCGCACGGGUGCGUAACGCGUAUGCAACCUGCCUUAUACAGGGGGAUAGCCCAUGGAAACGUGGAUUAACACCCCAUAGGACUGGAUUUUCGCAUGGGAAUUCAGUUAAAAUUACGGUGGUAUAAGAUGGGCAUGCGUCUGAUUAGGUAGUUGGUAGGGUAACGGCCUACCAAGCCGACGAUCAGUAGGGGUUCUGAGAGGAUUACCCCCCACACUGGUACUGAGACACGGACCAGACUCCUACGGGAGGCAGCAGUGAGGAAUAUUGGUCAAUGGGCGAGAGCCUGAACCAGCCAUCCCGCGUGCAGGAUGACGGCCCUAUGGGUUGUAAACUGCUUUUCUGCUCCAAGAAACCUGAUUACGUGUAAUCAGUUGACGGUAGAGUAGGAAUAAGCAUCGGCUAACUCCGUGCCAGCAGCCGCGGUAAUACGGAGGAUGCAAGCGUUAUCCGGAUUCAUUGGGUUUAAAGGGUGCGCAGGUUGGAAUGUAAGUCAGUGGUGAAAUACUGCCGCUUAACGGUAGAACUGCCAUUGAUACUGCGUUUCUUGAGUAUGGUUGAGGUAGGUGGAAUGUGUUGUGUAGCGGUGAAAUGCAUAGAUAUGACACAGAACGCCGAUUGCGAAGGCAGCUUACUAAGCCAUUACUGACGCUGAGGCACGAAAGCGUGGGGAUCGAACAGGAUUAGAUACCCUGGUAGUCC
Molecule: ribosomal RNA, 787 nt
Filed under: uncultured bacterium
Lineage: Bacteria
Description: bacterial SSU rRNA
Rfam family: Bacterial small subunit ribosomal RNA
Source: RNAcentral